RNAcentral lists this long non-coding RNA (1076 nucleotides) under Eutrema salsugineum. RNAcentral describes it as "long non-coding RNA (ESAL_LNC001455)". The record is from RNAcentral. Lineage: Eukaryota; Viridiplantae; Streptophyta; Magnoliopsida; Brassicales; Brassicaceae.
CAACUUCGAAUUUCUCAAGGCAAAAUUUCAUAAACUCUUGACCAAAUGGCCUCUUGUACACUAAUAAACAACAAACAAACCCAAUUAAGAUAAAUAAAAAAAACAUUGUUAUGAAGUAUAAUCUUGAAACGUUUCCAAGAUUUGGCCCACCAGAUGCAUCUGGUGAACGUUUCAUACGCCCGUUUUUUUUUUUUUUAUAUGAGCUCUGUGUAAGAGUAGACCACGCGGACUUAAGAUCAAGAAUUUCUUCUUGUAUUUCUUGGGUCCUAAGCUAAGUAUAUCCAGUGUCGAACUCAGUUCUGUAUGCUCUGAAGCUGUGUCACAUGAGUACUCAUCGUCGAUGCCACAUUUUUGCCAUUGGUACUAGUAACUGACUAGUCACUGUUACUUGUCAUUGGCGAUUUAGCUUCACGAGGUCAAACACCAUUUAUUUUGCGUGGUUCUUUGUAUACUGACUAAUGUCGAUACAUCUUUCCAUCUCUCUUUUAAAGUUGAUGAACCCAACAUUUCACAAUGUUAAAAUAUUAAAACCCUGAUGAAUCUGUACUGAAUCGACGUUGUGAACGAAUGAAACUCGAAUCAGACAGCGAUGAAUGGUCCGAUUUUGAGGUGGAGGAAGACAGUUAUGAAUCUGAAGAACUAGUUGAUUCUGAAUCAGAAGAAGAUCCUGUUUCAGACAGCGAAGAAGACAGUUCCGGAUCUGAAGAACUAGUUGAUUCUGAAUCAGAAGAAGAUCCUGUUUCAGACAACGAUGAAUGGUCCGAUUUUGAGGUGGAUGAAGACAGUUGCGGAUCUGAAGAACUAACUGAUUCUGAAUCAGAGGAAGCAACUGUUUCAGACAAGAAGAAGACACCAACUUCUUCUUCUUCAACUCAUAAAGGUAACGAUACGAAAACUCCAUUUGAAGCAGAGUCAAUCUCAGAUGCAAACAAACCAGCUAUAAAGGUGGCUCUUGUUGCAGACGACAAGACCAUGAAGAAGGAGAAAGUUGAGGAGAUAGUUCUGAAGGACAAUGGGAAGAGAAAAACAGAGGCCGAGGAUAAGAAGAAGACGAUCGAUGAAAAGAGCUUUCAAGG